This 69-nucleotide transfer RNA is filed under the name human gut metagenome. It matches the Rfam family "tRNA". From Rfam's summary of the family: Transfer RNA (tRNA) molecules are approximately 80 nucleotides in length. Their secondary structure includes four short double-helical elements and three loops (D, anti-codon, and T loops). The record is from RNAcentral. RNAcentral also lists the same sequence under 1 other name.
CGGAUUUAGCUCAGUUGGUAGAGCGGAAGCUUCCCAAGCUUCAGGUCGCGGGUUCGAACCCCGUAAUCC